GGUGGUUCUCGGGUGAUGUACUGAAAUCAGGCUCCCUCUCUCUGGUUCUGGGUGCAUCACCCAAGAACCACA
Molecule: non-coding RNA, 72 nt
Organism: Myotis davidii
Lineage: Eukaryota; Metazoa; Chordata; Mammalia; Chiroptera; Vespertilionidae
Source: Rfam